This is a long non-coding RNA of Balaenoptera acutorostrata (minke whale), 3237 nucleotides long. RefSeq lists it as uncharacterized. The record is from RefSeq and is a predicted model, not a curated record. NCBI's taxonomy places the organism in Eukaryota, Metazoa, Chordata, Mammalia, Artiodactyla, Balaenopteridae. The transcript is spliced from 5 exons.
CCGAGGCUGUCGCAGUUCGGCUGUUUCUGCUGUGCUCCCUGCUUUGGUGUCUGAGCCUGAAUUGGAACAAAGGAAUCAAAUCGAUUAAGAAAAUAUUUCACGCCCACUGGAAAGGAGAACGGCUCUUUGAGAACUGGACAGCAUCUCCAGGGCCCAGAAUGGCGGCUAGCAGAUGCAUAAACAGUUGUUGAAUAAGAAUGCGUCCUUUUAAGUUAAAAGCCCAUUUCUCUCUGUGAUGGAUGCAGAAGGCCAGCGUUGUUGGAAGGACUGCCCUGCGGACUGGGAUUGUUACCGAAAGUGGAUCCGGGCGCUCACCGCUCAAAAGCCAAUAAAGAAGCAAGAUCACAUCCUGCUGGGACGAUGGAAACUCCCCCUUUCUUCUCCCUGAGGCUGUGGCUUGUAUCACCCAAGUCCCAGGGGGCUGACAUUCCACCAAGGAGCCAGGUGGCGGGUAGCAUCUGGCCAAACUGUCAUCUGCUCACGUCAGCACCCCCUAGGAUGUUCAGCAUCUCAUCUCGGCCUUUGCCCUUGGUCCACGCAGGUUUCUCUGGCUGCAGCUCUCUCUCCAUCAGAACGUAAGCUCCAUGGGAGGUUCAGAACGCUGACGGGUCUGAGGUUUUACCCUCCUCACUAGCUAACUGGCUAGCCUGCCCCAGCUGAGCGGAUCCUGGCAGAAGACACGAGACUCCUGGGUCAGAGACAGAGACGCAGCAGCUCAGGCGGCAACAUCAGGUUCAGGCUUGUCCCUCAGCUGCCCUCGCCCGUCAGGCUCAGGUGGACGCUGCACGGGCAAGGCUGGCGUCACAGCUCAGGAACCCUGUGCUUAAGGAACCCCAGUCAUUUAUCACGGGCUGCAAGCACACCUGACCUUGGCCUUGGAGAGAGUCAUCUUCAUUGUACGGGAUAGUACAAACCGCCCUUUUCUCUAAAGGGAGGUGCUAUCUCUCUUUUCCGAGCCGUCUGCAGCACAAACAUCCUUGAGAAGGUGUUGCCUCUGCUGGCAGGGGUACAGAGAUGUGAGAGACCACGGAGAGCCGUCCCCCUGCAGAGGGCAGAGCUCACGAGAACGCUGGGCGCUGCUCUGGCCCGUCAAACCAGGGGCCACUCUCAGCUGUCAGCCACAGAAAUGAAGCCGCUGGGGAGCAUCAGCCCAGCGGAACUGGUACCAUUUUCAGUAGCACUGAAGAGUCGUACAGGCUAGCGGCAGUCCUGUGAAAAAGCACCUUCUUUAUUGCUCUCCAGCAUCUUGGAAUUCCAUCCUGGAAUUUGUCUUGGCUUGCUCCUGCCUGGAGAAUGAGAUAAAGCACUGUUUAAAUCUGACAUACACAUGAUGGGACAGAGUUGUCUCCGGGAGAUGCUUGAGUAUUCUGGUAGAAAAUCAUCAUUUUAAAGAUGACUUUUGUUUAGGAAACUCCAAGAUUAAGACAAACACUGUAUAAGGAGGGAGGGUGAGUGUCCACAAAAGGAAAUAACUGGGGGAGUGUUUGCGGGGGGGGGGGCAGUGGCUACAAGUAGAAAUGGUGCUUAUCUCUGCUGUCUGUAAACAUUCAGAACCUGGGGUAUCUUCCUGGGGAGGUCAUCGGGCACGAGAGCAGAGGCUGACUGCAGAACUCUUCCGGACGCCACAAGUCCUACACCUCAUCAAUCACGAAGGCUGGUCUCAUGUUCUUUCCUUUCCCAUCCCCGUGGCCCCUACCCAAUUCAGACCAUCUCAGACCACCAUUGCAUCAUUUCUUCAGCCUUCUGGUAGGUUUCCCUGCAUCCAAUCCACACCUCUGCCUUGGAGAUCUUUCUAAAAUGCAAUUCUGAUCUUGUCAUUCCCCGUCUUAAAACUUUUCAGUGACCUCCUCUUGCCGUAAGGAUAAAGCUCUAACUGAAAAGCGUUCAUGAGACCUUCCCUCUUGCGUGACUCCUCCCCCCACCACCUCAUUCGGACUGUCUCUCCCCCUCAUCCUCUUUGUUUCAGCCACAAUACAAGUGUUCCCUUGGGCAAGAAUGCCUUCUCCGCCAUUCUUGGGAAAUUUAUGUUUUUCAGAAUCCCAAGAAAAAUCAGUCGGGGAAUCAGGAAAUGAUCAUCUUACAAGAAUUAAGGCUUAACCAUCAACAUAGGAAUGUUACCAGUUUGGAAGCAUCCACUACUACCAAGGGGAAAGUGAGAGCAGGAAACGCUGACAUGUAGAAUCCAAAGUCAGAGUCACAUCGCUGGGGACCAGGGCGAGAGCAAGAAGGGGAGACACGGUGGAAAUCGAUCGGUCUUGCUGGCAGCUGUGGCCAUGUGAAAAGUGUGCUUAUGGCUCUAUCUCCUAACAGUUGACUAAUUCUUACAAAUUAAAAAAAUUAAUUACUUUAUAUACAUAGUAUACCUAACACAAAUCUUAUGAGUUGCUUUCCGAGAAAUAGCGAGGCAAAACAACAGAGGUCCCUGACAUGCCUCCCCAUCCUUCAUGUCUGGUUAAGGUCUGUUCCUCCAGGAAGUCACCUUGACCUUUAAACCUGGCUUCCUUGCCCCUCCAGGGUGCUCCUUACUGCUCUCGUAGUAUUUACAUCAAGGGGAGGAUGAUUAUUUGCUAGUCCCCAGAAGAACCACGCCUCCUGGUUUGCAUAACCUUACGUGGCCCCUCCCACACUGACUGUGGGCGUGGCCGUGUGACUUGCUUUGGCUGUGGGGACGUGAGUCAGAGCGAUACAGGCAAAUCAUUGAUAGGACCUCUAUCCUGGAGCUUGUUUCCUUGGAACCCUCCUUCUUGGAAGCCAGUCACCACACCCUCAAGUAGCCCAGGCUAGUCUACUGAAUGACGCGAGACCCUGGGGGAUGAUGGACCAUCUUGGACCUUCCAGCCCCGCACUCCACCCCACCCCCAGGCUCCCAGCUGAAUGCAGCUGCUCCAGAAUGUGAAGCAGAAGAGCUGCCCAGCUGAGCCCCGUCCACCCAGAGACUUGUGAGAAACAAAAAGCAUCUUUUUUUUCUUUUUUAAAACCCCUGAGUUUUAGGAUGGUAUUUGACACAGGAAUAGAUAACCCAAACAUGCUGUGUUGUCAUUACCUGUUACUUCUCUCUUUGCAGAUAAACUGUAAGUUCUAGGAAGAUAAGUUCAGGCCUGCCUUGUUUUAAGCAGAGGCUCAAUAUGUACUAUUGGAAGGACUGUUCCCUAGCCUCGGGUUGGUUCAGACCCCGCAGCAUUGCCAACUCAAGCUCAGCUGCAUCAAACAGGGUGUGAUUAAGCAUUUUGUUUCUAC